GAAAUAUGGGGGAAAGACCCUCAGGAACAAAGUUGGAAGGCAUCCCCAGGGAAACCCGACUGGCAUAGAAGUUGGUGCAAAGUGGGCGCUGGCCGCAGGCACUGUUGAAGAGGCAAUCUCAGAGAUGACUGUCAUCUAGGGAGGAGUUGAAGGUGUCGGAGAUGACUGGCUCUGGGCGGCCAUGAAAGACUCCAUUGGGGCAGUCAAUUUGGC
Molecule: long non-coding RNA, 213 nt
Filed under: Lathyrus oleraceus (garden pea)
Lineage: Eukaryota; Viridiplantae; Streptophyta; Magnoliopsida; Fabales; Fabaceae
Description: Pisum sativum (pea) long non-coding RNA (PSAT_LNC036217)
Source: RNAcentral